RNAcentral lists this ribosomal RNA (253 nucleotides) under uncultured bacterium. RNAcentral describes it as "partial 16S ribosomal RNA". It matches the Rfam family "Bacterial small subunit ribosomal RNA", at positions 524 to 776 of the family's 1533-position model. The record is from RNAcentral.
UACGGAGGGUGCAAGCGUUAUCCGGAUUCACUGGGUUUAAAGGGUGCGUAGGAGGGCAGGUAAGUCAGUGGUGAAAUCUCCGAGCUUAACUUGGAAACUGCCAUUGAUACUAUCUGUCUUGAAUAUUGUGGAGGUGAGCGGAAUAUGUAAUGUAGCGGUGAAAUGCUUAGAUAUGACAUAGAACACCAAUUGCGAAGGCAGCUCGCUACACAAAUAUUGACUCUGAGGCACGAAAGCGUGGGGAUCAAACAGG